RNAcentral lists this ribosomal RNA (465 nucleotides) under uncultured bacterium. RNAcentral describes it as "partial 16S ribosomal RNA". It matches the Rfam family "Bacterial small subunit ribosomal RNA", at positions 28 to 507 of the family's 1533-position model. The record is from RNAcentral.
GACGAACGCUGGCGGCGUGCUUAACACAUGCAAGUCGAACGGAAAGGCCCUGCUUGCAGGGUACUCGAGUGGCGAACGGGCGAGUAACACGUGGGUGAUCUGCCCUGCACUUCGGGAUAAGCCUGGGAAACUGGGUCUAAUACCGGAUAGGAGCCAUUUUUAGUGUGAUGGUUGGAAAGUUUUUUCGGUGUAGGAUGAGCUCGCGGCCUAUCAGCUUGUUGGUGGGGUAAUGGCCUACCAAGGCGGCGACGGGUAGCCGGCCUGAGAGGGUGGACGGCCACAUUGGGACUGAGAUACGGCCCAGACUCCUACGGGAGGCAGCAGUGGGGAAUAUUGCACAAGGGGCGCAAGCCUGAUGCAGCGACGCCGCGUGGGGGAUGACGGCCUUCGGGUUGUAAACUCCUUUCGCUAGGGACGAAGCUUUUUGUGACGGUACCUAGAGAAGAAGCACCGGCUAACUACGUG